GAUGAAGAACGCAGCGAAAUGCGAUAAGUAGUGUGAAUUGCAGAAUUCAGUGAAUCAUCGAAUCUUUGAACGCACAUUGCGCCCUUUGGUAUUCCAAAGGGCAUGCCUGUUCGAGCGUCAUUUGUACCCUCAAGCUUUGCUUGGUGUUGGGCGUCUUGUCUCUAGCUUUGCUGGAGACUCGCCUUAAAGUAAUUGGCAGCCGGCCUACUGGUUUCGGAGCGCAGCACAAGUCGCACUCUCUAUCAGCAAAGGUCUAGCAUCCAUUAAGCCUUUUUUUCAACUUUUGACCUCGGAUCAGGUAUGGAUACCCGCUGAACUUAAGCAUAUCAAUAAGCGGAGGA
Molecule: unclassified non-coding RNA, 341 nt
Filed under: soil metagenome
Description: partial contains 5.8S ribosomal RNA, internal transcribed spacer 2, and large subunit ribosomal RNA
Rfam family: 5.8S ribosomal RNA (bases 1-120)
Source: RNAcentral